ACAAGAAAACCUCUAUUUACAAACAGAUUUUAAAAUCACUUAGUGGCUGAAUUUUUCCCUCAAUAAGUUAGUGGCAGAAAAAAUCGCCACUAAAAUAUAAAUGUCUGCCGGUAUAUUUAAUGGCAUUUAAAUAAAAGAAAAUAAAAGGUAUUGGCAGAAUAAUCUGCCACUAAACGAAAGGACGAAAUGUGGGGACAGACUUUGUGGCAGAUUUAUCCGCCAGUAAAUUGAACAUGACAUAUAGUACCUCUUUGUGGAGGAAUUAUUCCGCCAGUAUAUGUAAAAGAAGGACAUGACAACUGGAUCUAGAAAAGGGGAAAAAUCACUUCUUUUUUUUGGUACACGAGCAAAUUUGUUUUUAUUUUACCGUACAAUUUGUUUCUUCUUCUUUAUCUCUUCCAUUCAUUAAAAUAUCUCUCUCUCAUUCAUUCAUAUUCAUUAAAAUAUGAAAUAUUUGAAUUUCAACAAUUACAUUCCAAAUUGAAUCUUCAAUCUAUUUCUCUCUUGCCGCAACUUUCAGUUCCACUCUUCCCCUUCUCCUAUCAUGGCUUCUUCAUCUUCAUCACUCAUCUAUUCAUAACUUUGAAAAAAAGUAGAUUGUUGUUGUCGAGGA
RNAcentral lists this long non-coding RNA (613 nucleotides) under Trifolium pratense (red clover). Its description in RNAcentral is "long non-coding RNA (TPRA_LNC012175)". Lineage: Eukaryota; Viridiplantae; Streptophyta; Magnoliopsida; Fabales; Fabaceae. The record is from RNAcentral.